UUCAGUCUCAGGUUCCCUCCACUCGGCCCCUUUGCAGAGAAAAACGUGCCCCGGAAGACUGAAACAAGAUUCUCUCCGUUCACAGUCGCCAACACUGUAUGACAGUGAGAUUAUCAAGUCCAACCUCAGAAGUAUUAGGGUGGACAAGUCAAGCUCACCGGGGCUCUGGGAAGCCUUCUUCAAGCCUUACCCCUGACUUCCUUCGCUCUGCUUAGGUUCUCUCCUGGAGAAUUGCUAUUACUCGUUUCAGCCUAACCUGUUUUGUUGAUGGAAGUGCUGAUCAUCGCCUACAUGAUCAAGCAGUGAUACUCACUUGUUACAUCGAACCCUGAAAUGCUAAAAGGGAAUAUUACUACAAAUUAUACUGGGACGCAGUGGGAAACCGAGAAGAAUCUUUCUUACUGAAAG
Molecule: long non-coding RNA, 408 nt
Organism: Arvicola amphibius (Eurasian water vole)
Lineage: Eukaryota; Metazoa; Chordata; Mammalia; Rodentia; Cricetidae
Exons: 5
Source: RefSeq, a predicted model, not a curated record